RNAcentral lists this ribosomal RNA (676 nucleotides) under bacterium 21A8. RNAcentral's name for it is "bacterial SSU rRNA". It matches the Rfam family "Bacterial small subunit ribosomal RNA", at positions 56 to 779 of the family's 1533-position model. The record is from RNAcentral.
UGCAGUCGAACGGAUCCUUCGGGAUUAGUGGCAGACGGGUGAGUAACGCGUGGGAAGCUACCUUGUGGUAGGGGACAACAGUUGGAAACGACUGCUAAUACCCUAUGAGCCCUAUGGGGGAAAGAUUUAUCGCCAUGAGAUGUGCCCGCGUUAGAUUAGCUAGUUGGUAAGGUAAUGGCUUACCAAGGCGACGAUCUAUAGCUGGUCUGAGAGGAUGAUCAGCCACACUGGGACUGAGACACGGCCCAGACUCCUACGGGAGGCAGCAGUGGGGAAUAUUGGACAAUGGGGGCAACCCUGAUCCAGCCAUGCCGCGUGUGUGAUGACGGCCUUAGGGUUGUAAAGCACUUUCAGCAGUGAAGAUAAUGACAUUAACUGCAGAAGAAGCCCCGGCUAACUUCGUGCCAGCAGCCGCGGUAAUACGAAGGGGGCUAGCGUUGUUCGGAAUCACUGGGCGUAAAGAGUACGUAGGCGGACUGAUAAGUUAGGGGUGAAAUCCCAAGGCUCAACCUUGGAACUGCCUUUGAUACUGUCAGUCUUGAGAUCGAGAGAGGUGAGUGGAACUCCGAGUGUAGAGGUGAAAUUCGUAGAUAUUCGGAAGAACACCAGUGGCGAAGGCGGCUCACUGGCUCGAUACUGACGCUGAGGUACGAAAGCGUGGGGAGCAAACAGGAUU